This 880-nucleotide long non-coding RNA is filed under the name Coturnix japonica (Japanese quail). RNAcentral describes it as "lncRNA (ENSCJPG00005015969.1)". Lineage: Eukaryota; Metazoa; Chordata; Aves; Galliformes; Phasianidae. The record is from RNAcentral.
GCUAGAAAGACCAAUUCCCAGAAACAUUUUGUUAUGUGAAUAACUAUGCUAUUCAUAAGUUAAAAGGCCAGAGAUGUGUAUUAUGUAUGCUGAUAUUUAGUUGCCUUGAGGGAGCUGGAAAACAUUAAUGCAUCAAUGUGGUCAAACUGUAAGUACAGCUACAACUAUAUAUUUACUAACAUUUUGCCCAAAUGAACACUUGCCAUGAAGAGUUCUAUCAUUUAUAGUUCUAACAUUAGCAGAUCUUUAUAUAAGAACCCUCUUUAGAAUCUUGUAGUGAAUCUGGUUAUUUCUCUGGUUGCUAAGUUUUCUUCUUGUUGUUCAAAUAUUUAGAGGUUGCUAUUUUGUUCGGCUGUCUUAGCCAAGCUUAGACAUGCUUUAGUAUGUGUGAUUUUAAAAAAAUAAUUCCUUGCAUGUUCUUAACAUUUUCAGUGCUUCUUUUAGAAUGCUUUGCAUGUGUUGGUGAUGAGAUACCCAGAUCUGCACGCAGCAUUUCAAGGCUGAGUUGAGGGAACGAAAUUGCUCAGAUGCCUGAGGCGACAGACUGAGUUAACUUGAACAUUUUGAUUAUUCAAAUGAGAAUUAUCCAAAUGACCCAGAUUUCUUCCUUACUGCAUCAUGACAAAUUGCUAGACAAUGACACCUCUACUGUCUGCAUUUCUGUGGGCAGACACAUUUGGAUAGCCAUACAGAGUAAUUCCAAACACCCACAUUGUGAAGGUCACCAAGUGCAGAAUUAGCACAGACACCAGCUUUAAGAUGACGGUUGCCAAGUCCUAGCUGCACCUGGCUGAAACUGAAACAUAAUCAUCCUGGGGUGAGUCAUGUUUGGUAACUGUAUCUGGAGUAAACCAACCAAAUACCUACCAAGCUGAACUAA